UCUGGUUGAUUCUGCCAGUAGUCAUAUGCUUGUUUCAAGGACUAAGCCAUGCAUGCCUCAGAAUAACUGCACUGCAGGAGUCUGCGCAUGGCUCAUUACAUCAGACCCAAUCUGCCGCAAAAAUGUUGCGGAAACGCAUUAUUGGAUACCUUGUGCGAAACGCCAAGCUAAUACAUGAACUAAUGGGAUCGUUCCGUUCCACACGCCGGAGGCUUGCCGAAGGCGUGGUGACCGACCCUGCGGAUGAAUGAAAGUACAAAUCAACGCUUCGCAAGAAGCAGUAUCACUGAGAAGUGCUGAAUCAAUUCAUCUUUGCUUAAGCUGGCCUAGCCAGCGUCUUUUGACGAACAACUGCCCUAUCAGCCAGUGAUGGCCGUGUAGUGGACUGCCAUGGCGUUGACGGGAGCGGGGGAUUAGGGUUCGAUUCCGGAGAGGGAGCCUGAGAAAUGGCUACCACUUCUACGGAGGGCAGCAGGCGCGCAAAUUGCCCAAUGCCAAAACAAAUGAUGAGGCAGCGAAAAGAAAUAGGUGCCCCAAACUCCUAGUGGGUUUGGGGCUUUCAAUGGGGGAUAUUUAACACCAUCCAACAUCGAGUAACAAUUGGAGGACAAGUCUGGUGCCAGCACCCGCGGUAAUUCCAGCUCCAAGAGCGUAUAUUAACGCUGUUGCUGUUAAAGGGUUCGUAGUUGAACUGUGGAGCAUGAUUCAGAGAUCCCGUCCUUUUCCCACGGUCUAGGAACGUUUCUAUCAUGCCCCGAGAACGUCAGAAACUAAGAUCACGGGAGCGUUUUUUACAAAUGGCCACCAAUCACGCGAGCAAUGCACGCUGGUGGACGUCCGUGUUCAUUACUGUGACUAAAGAAGUGCGACCAAAGCAGUCCAUCGACAUGAAUUAGAAAGCAUGGGAUAACAAAGUAGCAGCCUAUGAGCUACCGUUUAGGCUUUUGUUGGUUUUAAAAGUUCGUGGGAGAUUACGGGUUUGUAGGACCGGUGUUGGCGAGCUUUCGGGUUCCCGCAUCUCCUUCUUGUGCUGGAAACGGUGCUUGGAGGCCUAUUUUACUCAGGAAUGAAGGAGGGUUGCUCGGGGGAAAACGUACUUGGGCGUGAGAGGUGAAAUUCUUAGACCGCCCAAAGACGAACUACAGCGAAGGCAUUUUCCAAGGAUACCUUCCUCAAUCAAGAACCAAAGUGUGGGGAUCGAAGAUGAUUAGAGACCAUUGUAGUCCACACCACAAACGGUGACCCCCAUGAAUUGGGGAGUUUUUGUGGCGGCAUCUCCAGGCUCGUCCUGGUUGGUGUCCCACAAUAAAGUAUUCAACCUACGUGCACGUUCUAUCCAGCCAGGAGGUUAAACUCCUGGCCUUGACGGGAACAUCCUCAGCACGUUCUCUUACUGUUUCACGCGAAAGCUUUGAGGUUACAGUCUCAGGGGGGAGUACGUUCGCAAGAGUGAAACUUAAAGAAAUUGACGGAAUGGCACCACAAGAUGUGGAGCGU
Molecule: ribosomal RNA, 1497 nt
Filed under: metagenome
Description: SSU rRNA
Rfam family: Eukaryotic small subunit ribosomal RNA
Source: RNAcentral